UGAGAUAUAGUAGUGUUCAUUUAACACUCAGCUCAGAGUUUAAUUGGGUUGCUUAAAAUGACUUAAUGACUUAACCCCAUGUUGAAGUUACAAGAACAAAUUAUGUUUGUUUAGUGUAACCCAGUUACAGUAUGUGGAACCUGUUGACAUUAAAAAAAAGUAAAUGUAUGGAACCUGGUUACAUUAAAAAGUUAAGUAAAGCCAACAUAAACAUUUUUUGAGUGUAAAAAGUGAAAUGUGUAAUAAACAAAAUGUUAAACUGUUUGAAAUGAAAUGCAUUAAUGUGAACUCAUGAAUAAAAAUUUUAAUUAAACUGUUUGAAAUUAAAUUUAAACUGUUUAACACUCAUACAUGAGAAUUUAAAUUAAACGGUUAGAAAUAAAAUGUUAAACAGUUUGAAAUAAUGAAAUUAAAUGACUACGUAUACAGUAUUUUAAAUAAAAUGAAAAGUUAGAGGGUUUUUAACCAAUGUUUUGACAAAUCAUUUCUGCACUGAUCAGCAGAUAGGUUAGGGUUAGUUUUUGCCAUAUUUUCAAGAUUUUGCAAGGUUUUAUAAUAUAUUUAUUGUGUUAAUAUGCCAUAAUAUCUUCACUUAAGAACUUACUCAUAUAAGAAUGUUGUGGUUGAAGGUUAAUAAAUACAGUUGAUUGAAGUGUGGUCAAAAUUUUGUUUUGGCUCUCCUGUAAAGUUUGUUAAAUGGCCACUUACGCCCCUCUGGUUCCAAGCCCUCGAUAUACUAUAUUAUUUUAGAUAUAUUUAGAUAUAUUUUACCCAGCAAACAAGUUUCUCUCUCAAAGUUAUGAACAAACAUUUUCCCAGUAACAUUAAUAGACUGUUCGUUCAAUGUUAUCUGUUUUUUUUAAUAAUGUUCUUAAAACAUUAGAAAUACUCUGAAAGUCAGGCCGUUAUCAUCAUGCUUUACUGCACAUGUGAUUUACUGAAUGCUGGUUCGUUUGCAUUUGUACUGUAUGUUCAUAAUUGUGUUCUUGAUGAAUUUUCUUGUGGUUCUCUCUCCGUUGCAUUGCUGUAAUAUUUAUGUCCACUAUGUGGCGCUGAUGUAGAGCAGUAGAAGAAAGAGAUAUAGUUGAGUAAAGUAAAUGCUUGUGUCCAUCAGCUUUCUAUCCAUUCCUUCUUCAACAUUACAUUUCUCUGAUUAAUAAACACAUACAGUGUAAUAACACACACUCUAUGAUUGACACUUCUCUUCUUUUGAUCAUUAACAGUGGAAAAGUGCACAUGUUUAGUUUGUGAUGAAAAAUUCAGUCACACUCAAUAUGGACCCCACAGUGUUUAAGGUUGUAAGGUGCACCAGUGAUAGAAACUUGUGUAUGCUGUAAUUCCAGUCGAAGGAGAGGGACCAGUACGGAAUAGGACCGAGCGCAUGCUCCAGUUCCUGUGAUGGAAACAGAUGAUUUAGGACUUCCCAGUCAAAGUACUGAACUUGAUAUGGAGAGUCCUAACUGUUCUUUUGUGUUUUCCGAUUGUCACCUCGAUAACCCUGUGUUUCCUGCACAUUCCUCAUUGGAGGGCCAGCAGAUGUGGCCAGUCUGAAUGUACGGGUUAAAAAGAAACUGGACGGCAAGAAGAGUUGAGGAGAACUUCAAGAGGGACAGCAGGCCUCCAUUCUAAUCCACAUCACUUGCCACGAUCGAGUUGUCCAUUAGAAACAGAGCUGUAAUGGUGUUGGCAUGUGGACAGGUGUUCGCAGGCGGUUGCACUCGAGGGACAGUGGGCGCACGUGUGGUGUUUACUUUUAGUGGAUGCAGUGGUGAAUGAAUUGUUUGUUUGGAGUAUUAUGUAUUUCUUCACUCCACUUGUACCUCAGUGUACUGCCUGGGUAGGUUUAUGUUGUUCUUUUAUUUAUAAGAUUUCUGUCCAUGCCCAUAUGGAAGGGACUUUCUUAAAUAAAACUGCUGUGUAAAAGCGUUUAUAUCAGA
Molecule: non-coding RNA, 1937 nt
Organism: Pimephales promelas (fathead minnow)
Lineage: Eukaryota; Metazoa; Chordata; Actinopteri; Cypriniformes; Leuciscidae
Source: RefSeq, a predicted model, not a curated record